AGGCGCGGCUCAGCCCCGGGCCGGCUGGGGCUGUGCCGGGGCGGCGGGUGAACGUCCUCGGGCCGUGGGCGCGCCCUGCCCGGCUGCCUGCGCUCUCCGUCCGCAGGGCUGUGGGCGCAGCUGAGGCUGCUGGAGGACGGCGGAGGGCUGCGAGCGCCCGGGGAGACCGUGCGCCUCUCCUGCCGCGGAUUCGGCUUCAAAUUCGGGAAUUCCACAGUUUGGUGGUACCGUCAGGCAGCCGGCGGCAGUCUCGACUCCACCUCUCGCCUUCACUGUUGUCAUAGACCAAAGGUGCGACUAGGAGCGACUAGGACUGACCGUAGUGACAGAGGCACAGACAGGGCAAACGUGGGCAGAGCUGUUCUGCAGGCAGAGAGAAGCUGGAGAGAGGUGAGACAGAGUGGGCCUGGCCAUGUGGACUGCCAUGUGCCUGGGGUUAUUCUUUAUCCUAGCAGUCACUUGCCAGGUGGCCUUGGAGCAACAUGUCAAGAAACUGGCCGUGUGAGAGGGUGAUGGAGUCAACAGCAAACAGACAGCACCUUGGAGAAAGAGGCGCCAUGGUCUCUGGUGACCCAUGGGAACAGGAUAUCACUUUACUCCCCUUCCUCCAACAUACCAGCCAGCAACAGACACCCAUGGCAGAGGAGAAAACCAGUGACCCAGAUUCACGGGGAGAAAUGGCACCAGCAGCACAUACUAAAAGCUACCAAAGGAAGUGCUGAGUGCUGGCAGUGGGUGACUCUGCUCAGAGGCACUGAAGCAUCUGUCUGCUGGCCUGAUAUACAGCCUGAUAUACUAGCCCAGCACCGGCAGUCGGGGUGCUAAGAGGAGCUGUGUUUCAGUACCAACCACUUCUGAGGCAGCUCGAACUCCUUCAUAUGCUGCCAAUAUCCCUUUUUCAGUUGGAGUAUGGUGGGCCUCGGAUCCUCGAUAUCCCCGACUCCAAAACCCCAG
Long non-coding RNA from Aquila chrysaetos chrysaetos, 954 nucleotides. RefSeq lists it as uncharacterized. Lineage: Eukaryota; Metazoa; Chordata; Aves; Accipitriformes; Accipitridae. The record is from RefSeq and is a predicted model, not a curated record. The transcript is spliced from 3 exons.